CUUUAUUACUGCAAGGGCAGGCACAGCCCUCUGAAGAUAUAGUGAGUGGAAGCAUUGCAAGAUGAAACUUGGGUGUUUUCCCUUGUCAGGAGAUAAACAGAUCAAGACAUGUCUACAGAUCUUUCCUUGGACAUGAGAGACAUCUCAGACUGGAGUAGAGGCUGACUGUGCAACAAAAGACAUCAGUUCUAAACCCCACCUCACCUACGGAUGUUAGUUCUUGUGCAAAUGCCACUCCAAACACCUUAAAUUUUCUGCAGACUUUGCUUCAGCCUUAUUCUGGAAUGAGAAGCAUAAGGCAACAGAAAAAAGCUCCUGGAAUGUAAGCGCUUUCUGCAGAAACAUGUCCCUGAUCACAGGUUUCCACACAGACAGCAGACGGGAGACAGUCGUAUCUACACCACCGUUAUGCAACACCAAGACACCAGUUGGGCUCCUUCUAAGCCUCUUCAGAGGUGACUGACCUACAGGAAUUGUCAUUAGACAGAAAACAAGGUCAAAAUAUACUGAUAAAGCAGCUUAGAUGACAGAGUCACAGAUUACAGAUUCAUAUUCCAGCACACCCACAGAGAGCCUUUAGAAUAACUGCUCUGUCCUGGAUUUUAAAAAUAGUAUAUAGGACUAGUGAGCUUGUGCUUACUGUAUCAAAUCUUCCCCAGCCCCCCUCACUCAGCCUGUGAACCUGGGAAAGUGAUGUCCUUCUGCUGAGAGACAGCAGAGGAGGAGGAGGGAUCAUCUAAGUCUAACAACCUGACCUGUGCCUGUGCCCUUCUGAAGACACAGAGUGGUCCCCGUCCUGUAAUCCAACAGGAAGAAUCCUCUCUCUCUCUCUCAGCUGGAUAAAGCUCAGACAAUGAACUCCAAGGAAGGCAGCCAUCUCCUCAUUGUGUUGCCUACUCUACUUGCCAGGAUUUGGAAGGGCCCUCUCUUAGCAAAGCUGCUUCAUCUCCAGUUUCUCUGCGGGAGGACUCUCUCUGCAAUGAAGAAAGGCUAAAAGAAGAACAGUAAAGCAUUCAGCAGCAUGCUCAGCAACUGCUUUCUAUUAUGCAACAGUUUAAAGGAAUGUGCACAGCCUGCUGAAAACCUCAUCAUGUGACUAAGAUCACAGCAACAACGUGGCACUAAAUGAACAACUGAGCUCUUAUGUACUGGUAUAAAGACCCGGCUAGAAGAGCAUUGUGGUAGUCUACCUUCAGCCAAAGUGAAUAGGAGUUUAAUUUCAGCAUGUUGCUCAGCAGGCUAGUUACUUUUCAUCUGUGGGAUGAUACUUUAAUUAAAUUCUCACCUCACUACCUUUAAUGCAUUUUCCAUUAUGACUUGAUGUUUUUUGUCAGGUAUCUCUUUGCCCUCUGUGAGUUUUAAAAAGCAGGAAGAAAAACAAAACAAACAAACAAACAAACAAACAAACAAAAAACACUGGCAGCCCUAUAAUAACUGUGCUUUUGGAUUUAACUUCUGUGUUGCAGGACUUAGAUAAGGAUGGCUCUUGUAUCCAACAAAACAGAUGAGUUCCUGAGUUGAACCAUCACAAAAGAAAUAAAUAAAUC
RNAcentral lists this long non-coding RNA (1547 nucleotides) under Anas platyrhynchos platyrhynchos (common mallard). Its description in RNAcentral is "lncRNA (ENSAPLG00000021590.1)". Lineage: Eukaryota; Metazoa; Chordata; Aves; Anseriformes; Anatidae. The record is from RNAcentral.